Non-coding RNA from Pelobates cultripes (western spadefoot toad), 635 nucleotides. The record is from the annotation of a GenBank genome assembly. NCBI's taxonomy places the organism in Eukaryota, Metazoa, Chordata, Amphibia, Anura, Pelobatidae.
GAGACAUAGGUAAACACAUUGGGACAUGGAGACACUAGGGACACAGUGUCUCCAUGUCUCCCAGUGUCCCCUAGUCUUCCAGUGUCUGUGUCCCAAUGUCUCCCAGUGUCCCCAAAUGUCAGUGUCCACAUGUCUCCCAGCCAGUGUCUCAGUGUCCCUGUCUUCCAGUGUCUUUAUGUCUCCCAUCCAGUAUCCCUAGGGUCUCCCGGGGACUGUGUCCCCAAAUGUCUCAGUGUCCCCAUAUUUCUGUCCACAAGUGCCCCCAUGUCUCCCAGUGUUCCCAAGUGUCUGUGUCCCCAUGCCUCCCAGCGACUCCCUAGUGUCUGUGUCCCCAUGCCUCCCAGGGUCUCCCUAGUGUCUCAGUGUCCUCAUGUCUCCCAGUGUCUGUGUUCCCAUGUCUCUCAGUGUCCCUAGUGUCUUAGUUUCCCCAAAUGUCUGUGUCCAAAUGUCUCCCAGUGUCUGAGUCCCCAUGUCUCUGUGUCCCUAGUGUCUGUGACCCCAUUUCUCCCAGUAUCUCCAAAUGUCUCAAUGUCCCGAUGUCUCCCACUGUCUCCAUGUCUCUGUGUACCCAUGUCUGUAUCCACAAGUGCCCCCAUGUCUCCCCAUGACUCACUGUGUCCCCUAGUAUCCUAGUG